RNAcentral lists this ribosomal RNA (468 nucleotides) under uncultured bacterium. Its description in RNAcentral is "partial 16S ribosomal RNA". It matches the Rfam family "Bacterial small subunit ribosomal RNA", at positions 28 to 507 of the family's 1533-position model. The record is from RNAcentral.
GACGAACGCUGGCGGCGUGCUUAACACAUGCAAGUCGAACGGAAAGGUCCUGCUUUUGCGGGGUGCUCGAGUGGCGAACGGGUGUGUAACACGUGAGUAACCUGCCCUUGACUUUGGGAUAACUUCAGGAAACUGGGGCUAAUACCGGAUAGGAGCUCCUGCUGCACGGGGGGGGUUGGAAAGUUUCGGUGGUUGGGGCUCGGCUCGCGGCUUAUCCGCUUGUUGGGGGGGUUGUGGCUUACCAAGGCUUUGACGGGUACGCGGCCUGAGAGGGUGAGCGGCCACAUUGGGACUGAGGUACGGCCCAGGCUCCUACGGGAGGCAGCAGUGGGGAAUAUUGCAGAAUGGGCGGAAGCCUGGUGCAGCAGCGCCGCGGGCCGGAAGACUGCCUUCGGGUUGUAAACCGCUUUCGCCUGUGACGAAGCGUGAGUGACGGUAAUGGGUAAAGAAGCACCGGCUAACUACGUG